GUGAGGAAUAUUGGUCAAUGGGGGAAACCCUGAACCAGCAACGCCGCGUGAAGGAAGAAGGCUUUCGGGUUGUAAACUUCUUUGACAGGGGACGAAACAAAUGACGGUAACCUGAAAACAAGCCACGGCUAACUACGUGCCAGCAGCCGCGGUAAUACGUAGGUGGCAAGCGUUUUCCGGAUUUACUGGGUGUAACGGGCGUGUAGGCGGGACGGUAAGCCAGAUGUGAAAUGUAGGGGCUCAACCCCUGAACUGCAUUUUAAACUAUCGUUCUUGAGUGAUGGAGAGUCAGGCGGAAGUCCGUGUGUAGCGGUGAAAUGCGUAGAUAUACAGGGGAACACCAGUGGCUAAGGCGGCCUGCUGGACAUUAACUGACGCUGAGACGCGAAAGCGUGGGGAGCAAACUGGAUUAGAUACCCGAGUAGUCC
RNAcentral lists this ribosomal RNA (428 nucleotides) under uncultured bacterium. RNAcentral's name for it is "partial 16S ribosomal RNA". It matches the Rfam family "Bacterial small subunit ribosomal RNA", at positions 354 to 796 of the family's 1533-position model. The record is from RNAcentral.